GUGGUGGACUGCAGGGAAGAGAGAAUGUUGGCAUGAGUAGCGAAAGUGAAGUGAGAAUCUUCACCAUCGAAAGCCCAAGGUUUCCUGAGGAAGGCUCGUCCGCUCAGGGUAAGUCGGGGCCUAAGCCGAGGCCGGAAGGCGUAGGCGAUGGACAACUGGUUGAAAUUCCAGUACUAGCGUGAUGCGCUAUAAGAGAAGGAGUGACACAGAAGGGCAAGCGAACCCGGGCGAUGGUAGACCCGGGCCAAGCAGUGAGGCUGAUCGAGGAGGCAAAUCCCCUUGGUCAUAAGGCUAGGCUGUGAUGGGGAACGAAAAACAAGUAGGGAAGUCGCCGCACUCACACUGUCAAGAAAAGCUUCUAUCAAGUAUCAUGCUACCCGUACCGUAAACCGACACAGGUAGGCGAGGAGAGAAUCCUAAGAUGAGCGGGAGAAGUGUUGUUAAGGAACUCGGCAAAAUGACU
This 463-nucleotide ribosomal RNA is filed under the name uncultured bacterium. RNAcentral describes it as "bacterial LSU rRNA". It matches the Rfam family "Bacterial large subunit ribosomal RNA", at positions 1270 to 1727 of the family's 2925-position model. The record is from RNAcentral.